Molecule: long non-coding RNA, 489 nt
Organism: Oreochromis niloticus (Nile tilapia)
Lineage: Eukaryota; Metazoa; Chordata; Actinopteri; Cichliformes; Cichlidae
Exons: 4
Source: RefSeq, a predicted model, not a curated record
GGAGAGCAGGAAGGAGGAGGGAGAUGACAGGUGAGAAGGAGGCAUCAGAACCAGCUGCUGCAUGGGGUGGAGAGAUGUGAGCUCCUGGAGCAGAAAGCACCACAAGAAAAAUGAUCAGCUGACCUCCGUGCACUGGAGAGCUCUGUGUCAGGUGGCAUGUCUUCACGGUGGAGCCUGAAUGAGAAAUAGCAGCAGUGGCCAAAUCUACAGCUUUCUACACUCCAAACUCCAUCCGUGCACCCUGAAGAAGCGUCUCUCCACCAUCGGCUCCAGUUCCACUGUUCCCCUUGCUGAGCUUCACCUAUCCCAGUUCAUGUUCAAAUUUCACAGUAAUCUCAUAGCUCUAGCUAAUAGUAUUUUCCCGUUCACAUUCAUAACACUGAAUUCACUUUGUCUGAGACCUCAUAGUUCAUGUUCAUUCGCUCUAGCCUCAUUCCUAGCUUUUGCACCUGUAAAUAUUGUCAUAACACCACUGUAAAUAAAACUCUU